RNAcentral lists this small RNA (514 nucleotides) under Pan troglodytes (chimpanzee). RNAcentral describes it as "processed transcript". The record is from RNAcentral. Lineage: Eukaryota; Metazoa; Chordata; Mammalia; Primates; Hominidae.
ACUCUGCCAUAUGAUCACAUAGAAAACUGGUAACUAAAGAAUCACAGAGAAGUCCAAAGACACAUACAAUUCUGUCUUAUGUUAUAUGUUAUAUAAUAUACUUCAAAAUAAAAAUAUCAUAUCUAAGUUAAGUCUUGGUCUCUGCUGUUAGAGGUUCCUCACUUUAAUUUGCCCUGAUAAUCUCUUUAACAAAAUUAAGGCUUCUUGCUCCAAGUCAAUAAGAAGAUGUAAAGAAAUAAAUAUUUCCUUCAUUCCACAUGAAUCUCAGGUGUAUACUCUUGAUGUACCAGAUGCAUUCUAUUACUGUUAUAGUCCAGACCCUGGUAAUGCAAAGGGAAAAGAUGCCAUUAUGGAAACAAUGGCUGACCAGAUAGUUACAGUGUGUGCCACCUUGGAUGAAAAUCCCGGAGUAAGAUAUAAAAGUAAACCUCUAGAUAAUGCCAGUAAGCUUGCACAGCUUGUUGAAAAAAAGCUUGAAGACUACUACAAGAUUGAUGAAAAGAGCCUAAUAAAG